Molecule: ribosomal RNA, 922 nt
Filed under: uncultured bacterium
Lineage: Bacteria
Description: bacterial SSU rRNA
Rfam family: Bacterial small subunit ribosomal RNA
Source: RNAcentral
UUAGAGUUUGAUCCUGGCUCAGGAUGAACGCUAGCGGCAGGCUUAAUACAUGCAAGUCGAACGGCAGCGGGUCCAGCAAUGGAUGCCGGCGAGUGGCGCACGGGUGCGUAACACGUAUGCAACCUACCUUUAACCGGGACAUAACCUCGAGAAAUCGUGGCUAAUAUUCCAUAAUAUCUUUGAAUCGCAUGGUUUGAAGAUCAAAAUUCCGAUGGUUUUAGAUGGGCAUGCGCGACAUUAGCUAGUUGGUGAGGUAAUGGCUCACCAAGGCUACGAUGUUUAGGGGGUCUGAGAGGAUGAUCCCCCACACUGGUACUGAGACACGGACCAGACUCCUACGGGAGGCAGCAGUAAGGAAUAUUGGGCAAUGGGCGCAAGCCUGACCCAGCCAUGCCGCGUGCAGGAUGACAGCCCUACGGGUUGUAAACUGCUUUUAUACGGGAAAAAACCCUCUGACGUGUCAGAGGCUGAUGGUACCGUAAGAAUAAGCAUCGGCUAACUCCGUGCCAGCAGCCGCGGUAAUACGGAGGAUGCAAGCGUUAUCCGGAUUUACUGGGUUUAAAGGGUGCGCAGGCGGAACGACAAGUCAGUGGUGAAAUCUCCUGGCUCAACCAGGAAACUGUCAUUGAUACUAUCGUUCUUGAGUCCAGUUGAAGUAGGCGGAAUGUAGCAUGUAGCGGUGAAAUGCUUAGAUAUGCUACAGAACACCGAUAGCGAAGGCAGCUUACUAAACUGAAACUGACGCUCAUGCACGAAAGCGUGGGGAUCAAACAGGAUUAGAUACCCUGGUAGUUCACGCCCUAAACGAUGAUCACUCGUUGUUGGGCACUAUAUCGUCAGCGACUAAGCGAAAGCAUUAAGUGAUCCACCUGGGGGAGUACGAUCGCAAGGUUGAAACUUCAAAGGAAAUUGACGGGGGCCC